ACUUAUUUACUUCAGUCAGCUCUAUUUUAUCAGCUCGUUAGUUCAUAAUCAAAUCAAAUCGCAUCAAAUCUUUACCUGAAUGGUGAAGAAAUUAAUUUAUUAAUUAAAAUAUUCAAACAGCUUGAUCAAACAAUCAUAAUAUGCAUAUUACAUUUGCUUCUCGAAUUUCUCCACAUAACAAAUAAUAAUCAAACUCAAGGUCAGCCCAAACUUAGUUGCGGUUAGCAGCAUCAAGAUGAUUACACUAGGCCUCGCAACCAAUGUUAAUAGUAAAGCAGUGAAAGAAGGUAAUGUUAAAUUAACGACAAUGAUGCCUACAUCUCUCCAUUGAGCUCAAUUGAUGACUAGCCUUAGUUGAGAGAGUUUGUCAUAAUGGAAAUUACUUACUUAGACAGUGACAGAGACUUUUCUUGAGAACAGAUAAAAUAAUUGUUAUGUAUUGACUCCCUUUUAGUAAGAACUCAAACCACCCAAGACCUAUCUCUACUCCAAGAUUGAUUGAAUGACACAAGAUAUAAACACCAAACAAGAUUUGAUCAGAAAACAAGAACAAACAAGAUCAAAGAAAACAGAGAUUUAUAGUAGUUUGACACCUAAUUGCAGUGCCUACAUCCACUUGAGGAAGAUUACACUGAUUUUGCUAAAUCAAGUUCGAAGGUUAUAGAGGUAACAAGAUGUAUAUGAAGCUUACAAUCCACCAUUGUUUGCUCUCUCUUCCCAAUCUAGCUUCUCUAUCUAAUCUCAAGGAACACACCAGAAGUUGCUAUUUAAAUUCUGCUUCUAGUAAAUUUUUUUUCCAGCUACCAUUUUUCUCGAAAACCAACUAAGAUAACGGCCUCUUUACGUGCCAAUCACAAGCCUUUACUAAUGAGAUCGAAAACGACAAACAACCCGUGUUAUGCAUGUGAGUUACUUAGGAAUUCAGAUGACAUUCUGAACAUGUCAGUUUGGCCUUAGUACUUUGCUGAUGACAUGUCGAGUAAACUUGAACCCUUAAGAUGACGAGUUAACCAUUUGAGUUUGACUUCAUCCUCGUCAAUCUCCAUCUUGAACUCACAACUCUAGUUACUCCUGGCAGCUAUCUUCCUCAUCAUUUAUAGUAACUUAAAACUUCCAAAUCUUUGCUAAGUUCAAGUAAAGGUUGAACUUAGCAGAUGGCACCACUUUGGUCAGCAUAUCUGUGGAUUCUCAUCUAUGUGUAUGUUCAGCUUCACACCAUCUCUUGAUACUUCUAAUCUUACAAAGUGCAGCUUCACAUCAAUAUACUUUGUCGUUUCAUGAUGAGUCUGAUUUUUACUAAGGUAUAUUGCAUUUUGACUGUCAUACUACACUGCAACUAUCAUUUGUUUAGCUUAUAAUACAGUGACCAUUCCCUUCAACGAAAUAGCCUCCUUGAAAGCUUCUGAUGCAGCUGUGUAUUGAGCCUCAGUUGUAGGGAAGGCAACCACACUCUGCAAUGUUGCUUUUCAGUUUACAGAACAGCCUCCCAAAGUGAACAAAUAACUUGUUUGAGACCUUUUUUUUUAAUCAAGAUCCCCAGUAAAAUCAGAAUCCUAUCAUUUGAUCCAUUGUACACCAUACCACAUUUCAUAAUGCCUUUUAGAUGCCUCAAUAUCCACUGAACUGCUCUCCAAUAUUCGUAACAAGAAUUAGCCAUAAAUCUACUUACCACACUCACAAUAUGUUAGAUAUUUGGUUUGAUAAGUACCAUGGCAUACAUAAUGCACCCAACAGCACUUGACUAAAUAAUGCUGGCCAUUUACUAUUGUUGUGUAUCAAUUUUUGGAUACUGAGUAGUUGACAAUCUAAAAUGACUAACCAAAAGUGUUUGAACAGGUUUAGAAUCAUGCAUUCCAAACUUGUGUAAAACCUUCUUGAUCUAGUUUUGCUUAGUCAGAAACAUAACAUCUUUCUCUCUAUUUCUAACUAUUUCCAUCCCUUAAAUCCUCUUUCAGCUGUAUGAUCCUUCAUUUCAAACUCAAUGCUCAAAAGACCCUUGAACUAAUCAAUCUCUUUUCUGUCAUGACAUGGUAUCGGCAUAUCAUCCACAUACAACAAGAGAUAUAUCAUCUUCCCUUCACUUAUCUUCUUAAAGUAUACAUAACAAUCAUAGUUGCAUCUAUUAUAGGCAUGUUUAGUCAUAAAACUAUCAAACUUUAGGUACUAUUGCCUAGGUGAUUGUCUCAAACCAUACAAAGACUUCUAAAACAAACAAAUAUGAUCUUAUAUACCAAGCACUACAUACCUUUAAGGCUAUUGCAUUACAAUUUCUUUUUGUAAUUCACUAUAUAGAAAAGUUGUUUUAACAUCCAUCUCCUCAAGAUAUAUAUCCUAAAAUUUAACAAGUAUAAGAAUGAUUCUGAUGGAAGCAUGCUCCCCACUGGAGAGAAAACUUCAUUGAAGUCAAUUUCUACUCUCUGUGUAAAGCCUUUGCCACCAAUCUAGCUUUAAAUCUCCUUGGCUCAGCAUUAGGUAUCUCUUCUUUUAUCUUGAAGAUCCAUUUGCAGCUUACUGUUUUUUUUUUCUUUUUUUUUUGUAGUUUUUCAAUCAAUCUCCAAGUUUCUUCUUCAUUAGAGAUUCAAUCUCUUUAUUCAUUGCUUUCCACCAUUUUAGCUUGUUUUUGCUAGUGAUUGCUUCUUCAUAAGUGCUUUGUUCAUCAUCGUUUAACUUAUGAGUAGCUGUUAGUGUAUAACCAAUCAAAUCUAUUGCAGCAUACCCUCUAGGUGGCUUAAUGGCACUCCUUUUCCCGUCUUUUGCCACAUGAUAAGUGUCUCUUUCACUUUCAGUUGUUUCAGAUUCUUUAUGAACAUCUAAUUUACCUUCAAAACUUUAUGCUUUACCUUCAACACCUGAUUUAGUCUUCUUAAGUUCAUAGGGCUCCACCUCAAACUGAAUUUUUUCUAGUUCAAUUUCUGGUUUCUACUCAUCAUUUAAAAAACUUCUACAUAACUAUAUUAUUUCUACUUCAUUAAACAUCACAUCUAUGCUUAUAACACAUUUUAAUGGUUUGAAAACAACAUACCAUAAUCUAUAACCCUUAACUCCAUCAAGGUACCUUAGAAAUAUGCAUUUUAGAGCUCUAGGUUUCAGUCUACCUUGUUUAACACGUGCAUAUGCCGAACAACCAAAAAUCCUAAGUUUAGAAUAAUCAGAAACUUUUCCUAUCCACAAGUCCAUUAGCUCUUUGCAUCCUAAAGCUGUUGAGGGCUCUUAUUCACUAAAUAAUAAUCAGUGUUCAAUACUUCUGCCCAAAGGGUCUUUGGCAACUUUCAGUACAACAACAUACAUCUUACCUUUUUCAUUAAGUUUCUAUUCAUCUUCUUAGUAAGAUCAUUCUGCUGAGGUGCAUAUGUUACUAUUUUGUCUCAAAAUGUCAUUCUUUUCACAAACAUCUUCAAACAAUUUGGGGUGGGUUUUUUUUAUAGUAAAAUAUUUUUAUUUUAUAAUAAAUUUUUUUGUCUUGUAAUAAAUAUAUUAUUUUUUGUUCAUGCAUCAAUAUGAUAAAUAUCUAAUAAUUGAUUGAAUGCAAUUGGUCCUCGCGUCCAACUCAAUCCCUGCUUGCGGGUCCCCGUAGACUUGGUGACGUCUUUAAUCAUUUGAUCAUUGGUUCUAUGAAGAGUCAACUCAAGAUUCAUAUGCGCGUCAGAAAAUUAGCAUAUGAAGAAGGACCAAUGAAUCAUUUACCACAUAAUCUCUAGCUCGUUAAUUACUCCAUCUCACAGCAACUAGUGAAUUAAAAAGUCAUAAAUAUCACCUCAAUCCAAAACAAGGUUAAGAACUGUAUGUUGAUUUGUUAUUUACACUGGCUACUUAGAAAGAUUUGAUUAGUAACUAUUGGAUAUAAAUAGAAAUAUAUGUAGGGUCUACAGUGGUAACAUACUCCAUUUAUUGUCUUUUUUUUUAAUUAAUCCCUCUGCAAUCCCUAUUUUAUUAUAAAAUUAAAAAAAUAGUCCUAAAUUCCGGCUCAUUAGUCCUACUUGUUUUAAUUUUUUAAACUUAAAUCAAAAGGUGGGGCUAUUUUUCUAAUUACUAAUUCACACACCAAUCAUCAUCGUUGUAAAAAGAAAAUUUACUAUGUACAUCUACCUAAAUGUCAUUAUAUCCUUGAUAAAAACUAAUUUUUUAUUUUUACUAAAUAAAAUAAUAAAAUAACAUAUAAAAAACUAAUUAAAUUGUUUACAUGCCCAUUAGUUUCAGUUCCAUAUCUCUAGCAAUUAACAAUUGAAUUCUAUCACUAACUCAAAGUUAUCGAGCAUGAGAUGUGAAAAAAAAUAUUCUAAAAAGUGUGGAGCAUAAAAUUGUUUUGGCUCCAAAUCCUUGUUAAAAACUUCCAAACUUGUUCAUCAAGCUUCUAGAUGUAAGAAUAAAAGAAGAACUUUUUUUGUUUUUUGGGCCUCAGCUUUUGGUACUAACUUAUUAAGCAAUAGAAAAACACAUUAUUAAUUGGUAAAUUAAUAUAUUUUUACUACGUAUUGAAAUUAUUGACUAUGUAUUGAAUAAGUAUUAUGAAAAGAAAAAUAUUAGCUACAAAUUAAGAACAAGAGAUUAAAUUCAUAUUCACAUUUAUCAUAAAAUAUAGUUCGUAAUUAAUACAUGGUAUUACGAUAUAUUAAAUUAAUUAUUUAAUAAAAAACAGUGUUAAGUUGAAUAUAUUAUUUCAAAUACAAGAAUAAGUCAUUUUAUGGUGAAAUUAACUAGGUCAAUACACCUAAGUUUAAAAAAUUUAAAAUAUUGUGGACUUAUGUGUUAAAAUUUUGAACUUUUUCACUUUUUUUAUUUCGUAGCAAGCAUUAGGGACUAUAAAGUUAAUAACCAACAGAAAGUCAGAAACAUCUUAGAGCAUCUCCAAAAGGAUCCUUAAAUUUUACUCUUCAAAUUUCAAUUUGCUUAUUGAUGUAGUAAAUAAGUGUAUAGAAAAAUAUAAUCCCCUCCAAAAGACUCACCAAAUAAGAAUAAAUUAAUAUUAUUUUAAUCAAAUCUUUCCCACUAUCAAAUUGUAUUGUUAUUAUUUUUUUUAAAAGAAACAUAAAUAAUAAUUAUUGCAGUCUUAUCUUUUCAAUAAAUAAUAAUAAAAUAUUAAUAGAAGAGGGAGAAACUCACUCGGCAAUAUUGAAGAGUGAGAAACAAAUCUUAUUUAAAUAAUCUAAAUUAACCUGUCUUUUGGAGUGUUUAAUAUUGAUAUGGCUCUUUAAAUAAGAAGUAGAAUCUUAUUUGAAGAGUCUUUUGGAGAUGCUCUUAGCCGCCGAACUAAUUUUGGGAUAGAUCUUAACAGUGGAUCAGGAAAGACAAAAAAAAGGAUAUGUUACCAUCUAUCAAAUGUGAUACAAUCAACUAACUAAGAUAUACUUUGAGGAGGCCAAGAACACCACAAAAGUUUUUAAGUACAAUUUCAUUAAUUUAUAGCACGCCUUUUAUUUUGCGCCCUUCCUAGUUAGAGUUAGAAGCUAAUUUUCUGAAAUGAUUAAAUUAUAUAUUUAUUGUCAGUGGGCCUUUAACCCAGCGGUGAACCUCUACUCUCACAGUUAAGUAUGAUUGUGAGGGUAGGGGUUCGAGUCCUCAUGGACCCAAACUCCCUCAAUUAAGCGCACCAACAAGCAUGUAGAUCAGUUGGCACGUGAUUGUUCUACCUUAACCAAGGUCCUCAGUUCAAGACUUGAGAAUGCAGCUGCGUUAAAUGCUUGUUGGGAAAGCUUUGGGGCCUUAGUGGUCCUACCCGGCUUGAAUCUAAAUUAGUCGGGGCCUAAUGUGGUCUUCUGAUACCAGAUAAUUUAAUACACCGAAAAAAUUAUAUAUUUUUAAAAUAAAUUAGAAUCAUUACGGAUAAAAAUGUUAGGAAUGUUAGUAUUGUUUUAACCUAUUAUAAAAAAAUAUUAUAGUUUAGUAUAAUUGGAAAAAAAAAAGGUAUGUCAAUAUAUUAUAAAAAGUGUUGCUCAAAAUUAUAUAUUAACAAUGGACAACAUAUAUCAUAUUUUCUAUCACUAAAAUAAAAAAGAAUUUCAUAAAUAAUUUUUUUAAUGUACUAUUUUAAUAAUUUAUAUUAUAAUAAGCUAAUUUGUUGCAAUGUUGUCAUUCUUUAUUAAAUAUAUGUAUUUUACUAAAAAUUUCAUUGUUGCGUUGCUUAACAUAUAUACUAUUUUUACUCCUUUAUCGGACUGACAUUGACACAAAUAUUACUCAAUUAAAUUUAUAAAUUAGCAUCGCAUGAUAAAAAGUCAAGGGUCUGCCCUUGAGUACUAAUAUAUUUGACAAAAACUUUUUAAAAUAAUUUGAAAGUUAAGUUAGUUUUAAACUAUAAUUAUAUGAUGAAAAAUUUUAUAAUACCUUUAUUUUCUUGGUCAAAAUUAUAAUUUUACAAUUAUAGUUUUAUUUGCUUAAUGUCUCAAAAUUAAACAAAGGCCUAAAUAAACUCCAAAUAGUUUUUUAGCCAUCUAUAAUAGUUGAAAAUAAAAUCAUAGUUGUCUUAAAAUAUAUUCCAAUUAUACAAAAUUUCUUAACAACUAAGCAAGUUUCCUAACAGAGUGCAUCAUAUAAGUUACCUUAAAACAUAGAGAAUAGAUUAGAAUUAAUAAACAGAGAAAGCAGAGCAAGCUUGUCCAGAUUAUAUUUACCUAAUACAAAUUGCAGAGGCUAAAGAAACCUAAAUUCGGUAACUUUACCUGGCAUCUGCAAUUCCCAGCUGAGAGAAGACUUUACUUUCUGAUGAGAUUGAAUUGUCCUGGUCUCUCAAAAGUUGCAUAUCAACUUCGUUCAUCGACGCGCUAUAUGAAGGAAAACGCCUGACAUUAGGGAGUGGCAAUGCAGAUGAAGCAUCGUUUGUACUGUCUUCAUGUGGCUCUCUUGUCCUUGCAGUUUGUUGAAGCUGUAAUGCAUACUCCAAGUCCCACAACACAUCACCCAUUGUUGGUCUGUCAUCACCAUCAUCCCGCAAACAUUUCUCAGCUGUCUCAGCAUAUUUCCUCAAUGAGUUUGGACUGAUCUGAACCUUUAUCAAAGGAUCUACGAUCUCCUCAAUAAGCCCUUUGUUCUUGCAAAGCAAUGCCCAAUCAGCCAGGUUAACUUGUUCUCUUGGGAGUGAGGCAUUGAUGGCUGGUCUUGCACAUAGAACCUCGAAAAGAACAACUCCAAAUGAGUAAACAUCAGAUUUUUCUGUUAAUUGUUGUGACUGGAAGUACUCAGGAUCAAGAUAACCAAAAGUUCCUUUAACAGCUGUACUGACGUGGUUUUCAUCACGCGUACCCAAUCUUGAAAGGCCAAAAUCAGCAACUUUGGCAACAUGAUUUUUGUCCAGCAAAAUGUUUGUGGACUUCACAUCACGGUGAAUGAUUCUUCCAGCUGAACCUUCGUGUAGAUAAUGAAGACCUCUUGCUGCACCAAUGCAUAUUUCAAGCCUCUGUAUCCAGGACAAACAGGGCGACUUUGACUUGUACAGGUGAUCCCUCAAAGUCCCUUUUUCCAUGAACUCAUACACUAGUAUCAUCUCAGACCGUUCAUCACAAUAUCCAAUUAAGGAAACAAGAUGGCGGUGGCGAAUUUUUGAUAAGACUAUUAUUUCAGUUUGGAAUUCUGGAAGGCCUUGGCCGGAGCCUGGUUCGCUUCGUUUUACAGCAACUUUCAUGCCGUUCCUGAGAGUUCCUUUGUAGACAUUCCCAAAUCCUCCCUUUCCGAUCACUAACUUUCUAUCAAAAUUGUGCGUCGCAAACUGAAUUUCUACAAAAGGAAUUUUUAAUCCAAGGUUUACAUUAGGCAUUGGGGAGCCGCCAGUUCCCUCCGGGACCUUACCAUGAGAACUCCCUCCUCCACGUACAUGUAAUGGAGACCAAUCCAAAGCCAAAGGAAAUUCACCAGGCUUUUGCUUUCUGUAUGUCAAAACAAAAAACAGUACAACUGCCAAUAUGCAAAUCAGAAGCAAACCUCCAAGCACUGAGCCAACUACUACCAUGACAUGCUUUUUCUUAUGUCCAUUAACUGUACCCGAUUUCUCCAUAAUCUCCAUUAUCUCAAGCCCAUUCAAAUAUGCAUCACGCUCACUCCCUGCUUCUACUUUAGGGCCUACACUGAUGUUCAUAAUUCCUCGAUCAUUCGAAUCAACCACGAAAUCAAAAUAAAAAGGUGUUGCAAUAUGGGAAAUAUCGGUGUACGGGUGGUACGGGUCGAUUUCUUUCGAAUAGGUGGCAUCGAUAUAGAGAAAAAAUUUGAAAACAUUCGGAGAUGGGCUAACAAUGUCACAGAAAUGAACCCGAACAAAGUGCCUAGCAUUCUUACUCACGUUAAAACACCAUGUUAUGUUGAAGUUAUUAGAAAGCCUACUAUUGUUUUUAUUCAUAUGCUCUGCUGUCUGGUAAACAGAAUCCGGAGCAGUGUAUUCACUAGCUAUUCCCAGAUAGUAAAGAUUAGCUAUAGGCCCAACAAUUUUUGCUGUAUCUGGAUUGUACAGAUAACGAUCAUCAGGAAUCCAGUUCCUCCCUAGAGUGUCAUUCUCUUGCGAAAUCAUAGGGCCACCAACAUUGAUCCUAUAAAUUGUCUGUAGAGCCUUUGGGUGAAUUCCCGGGUAAGAAUUAGUCUUAGUUCCUAUAGGACUAACAUGUGGACCAUUAUCAGGAAUGGAACUUAGAGGUAAAGGGUCCACAAGGAAGACUUCAAUGGCACUAACAAACGCGAAAGAUGAUUCUUGGGGCCUAAAGUAGACACAGAAUUUUCCUUGAGUGAUGCUAAGAAAGAAGUCCUUUAUUACCGGAGACUGGCUACUGUUUUGGACAUUAAAAUUAUGCAACAGCACAAACGGAUGGGAAGUGGAAACGUUGAAAACAGCUCUAUAGAGAUUGAUCGCAAAGGAGAAAGCAAAGAAAUGAAGGCGUACUAGAUGAGUGCCGUCACUGCUGACAUCGAACUCGUAGUAAGAUAAUUGAUUGAAAACUCUUGCUGUUUGAUAGAGAGCUAAUGUAUCUGGUAACUGGCUGCUGUUUUUAACAGGAUGGCUCUGCUUUGAAAAGGAGAUGGAAUCUGAAUUCAGGUCCCCUCUGAAUAUCCGAUUGCCAGAAUUCACGUCGGUGUCUGAACCACAGUUGAUGAAAUACUUGUCUGGAAGACUAUAUGCUGCACAAGUAAGUCCAACUGACAAGAGAUGGAGGAGAAAGAUGAGAGGGGAUGAAGAUUUGAGGACUUUCUUGGUUUGAAUCUUUGCCAUGAAUUCAGGUGGAGGAAAGCUAAUCUCUGUGAACUUUGAAGACUUUGUGGUUGAAAGAUGUUUAUAUGAUAUCCAUUUUGGCAGAGAAGACUCGAGUCAACAUAGUUGAAAAAUCAAACAUGAAAAUCCAGGAAAGAAAAUAUAGUGAUCACAUAAUUUUAUGUAGGAAAACAAAAAAUAUGACACGAGAGAAAUUGGUGCCCACCAUUAGAAGAUGCUCUUGCCCCUUGAUGUUGACUUAGCUGACUAUAUACAGGCCAAUUAUAUAAGCCAAAAUAAAUGUGGACCCGCGGAAAAUUCAGAAACUGGCUAAACGAAUUGUAUGUCCUCUUGCAUUUGGUGGGUGAAGCAGAAGGCCCCACAAUGGUAGGAAUUCUACAAGAAUAGCACUUCUUCCAGUCUACUAAUGGGUUGAGGCAGCAGACAUUGUCUAUAUGCUGAAUCCAUGGCAUAUUGUCAUGCUAUAUAUUUUUCAUCCUCUAUCCGAUUCCUGAAGGCCUCGAAUGCUGAUCCUGUGAAGGCUUCGAAAACCUGGUACUUGGUAAAUAUCAUAUACAGGUUAAACUGAUACUGCACAGUGAGGCGAGAUUAUUUUCACAAGGAUGAAAGAGACUUUCGUGGCAUCAACUAAAGCAAAAGAUGAUUUUGAACUCUAUGAAAGGCUUUAGUUGACUUGAAGCUUCUGUUUACAAGAAAGGAAGUCAAGUUGUGACAUAUUAGCCAGAAUGAAAAGUCUCUUCAGCACUAGUGAUUGACACUAUCUGAUCACGGAAAUUAAGAGGAGGAGGCGGAUAUUUAUUAGCAAAAUUUCUUUUAUUUAUUUGUUUAUGUUAUGUGCCUUUCAGAUUUUAAUAUUUUUUAUAUAACAAGUGUUUUUUUUUUUUUUUUUUAAAGAAUAUAACAAGUUGAAGGAGCUGAAAACUCUCCAUGUCCGGAAAUGUUGAGUUGGUGGUUGGGGGCCGUGUUUUGCUUUUAAAUGGCUAUGAAACUAGCCCGCACAGACAUUUUGACCCAUUAAGAAGCUGGGAGCCAGUAAAAAUCCAGAGGAACGUACGCCUUAAAAGCCCAAUGGCUUCCUGAUUCCCCAUCUGGGCCAACGAUGUAAAGCCCAGGCCUAUUCGAUAUUCUAGAAGCUAAACCACCUGAAAAUGUUUCAAUGCUGAGUCCGAAUGGUUUCGCUGCGUGGCACCUAGUUUUAAUUUCUUUCCAUUCCUACCAUAUUAUAAAGGAAAAAGCUAUUUACCCCAACUUGCACCCCGAAUGAAACUCACCGUUUUACUUAAAUAGAAAACUCACCGUUUGGAAACUUUUUUCCUUUCGUUUGGAAAGACUUAGCUAAAUUGAAAACACCCUGAAUGAAGCUCCAAAACGAUCCGUUUUCAUGAAGCAUUCCUCAAGUUCUCAUAGCCAUCACGGGAGCCAAAGAGGACCAACCACAACCAUCACGCGAUCGAGGUCGCCGUUGCCAUCACCGACAGUCACACGACAACCAACACUCACAAAGCUGAUUGGGAUUUGUGUUUGUGUGUGUGUGUGAUACUUUUUUUGCUGCUGGAAUUAUUGAUACAAUUCCAGCAGCAUUGUUGCUGAUUUGUGUGUGUGAUACAAUUCCAGCGUUGUGAGUGUCGUUCGUGUUAGCUUUGUGAGUGUCGGCUGUCGCGUGAUUGUCAGUGGGAAGACUUCAAUGGCACUAACAAACGCGAAAGAUGAUUCUUGGGGCCUAAAGUAGACACAGAAUUUUCCUUGAGUGAUGCUAAGAAAGAAGUCCUUUAUUACCGGAGACUGGCUACUGUUUUGGACAUUAAAAUUAUGCAACAGCAAAAACGGAUGGGAAGUGGAAACGUUGAAAACAGCUUUGUAGAGAUUUUUUGCAGAGGAGAAAGCAAAGAAAUGAAGACGUACUAGAUGAGUGCCGUCACUGCUGAUAUCGAACUCGUAGUGAGAUGAUUGAUCGAAAACUCUUGCUGUCUGAUAGAGAGCUAAUGUAUCUGGUAACUGGCUGCUGUUUUUAACAGGGUAGCUCGGCUUUGAAAAGGAGAUGGAAUAUGAAUUCAGGUCCCCUCUGAAUGUCCGAUUGCCAGAAUUCACGUCGGUGUCUGAACCACAGUUGAUGAAAUACUUGUCUGGAAGACUAUAUGCUGCACAAGUAAGUCCAACUGACAAGAGAUGGACGAGAAAAAUGAGAGGGGAUGAAGAUUUGAGGACUUUCUUGGUUUGAAUCUUUGCCAUGAAUUCAGGUGGAGGAAAGCUAAUCUCUGUGAACUUUGAAGACUUUGUGGUUGAAAGAUGUUUAUAUGAUAUCCAUUUUUCAGAGAAGACUCGAGUCAACAUAGUUGAAAAAUCAAACAUGAAAAUCCG
Molecule: long non-coding RNA, 11542 nt
Filed under: Citrus sinensis (sweet orange)
Lineage: Eukaryota; Viridiplantae; Streptophyta; Magnoliopsida; Sapindales; Rutaceae
Description: long non-coding RNA (CSIN_LNC000198)
Source: RNAcentral